RNAcentral lists this ribosomal RNA (432 nucleotides) under uncultured bacterium. RNAcentral's name for it is "partial 16S ribosomal RNA". It matches the Rfam family "Bacterial small subunit ribosomal RNA", at positions 29 to 507 of the family's 1533-position model. The record is from RNAcentral.
ACGAACGCUGGCGGCAUGCCUAACACAUGCAAGUCGAACGAGACCUUCGGGUCUAGUGGCGCACGGGUGCGUAACGCGUGGGAACCUGCCCUUAGGUUCGGAAUAACUCCCCGAAAGGGGUGCUAAUACCGGAUAAUGUCUUCGGACCAAAGAUUUAUCGCCUUUGGAUGGGCCCGCGUUGGAUUAGCCAGUUGGUAGGGUAAAAGCCUACCAAGGCGACGAUCCAUAGCUGGUCUGAGAGGAUGAUCAGCCACACUGGGACUGAGACACGGCCCAGACUCCUACGGGAGGCAGCAGUGGGGAAUAUUGGACAAUGGGCGAAAGCCUGAUCCAGCAAUGCCGCGUGAGUGAUGAAGGCCUUAGGGUUGUAAAGCUCUUUUACCCGGGAUGAUAAUGACAGUACCGGGAGAAUAAGCUCCGGCUAACUCCGUG